This 490-nucleotide ribosomal RNA is filed under the name uncultured bacterium. Its description in RNAcentral is "partial 16S ribosomal RNA". It matches the Rfam family "Bacterial small subunit ribosomal RNA", at positions 30 to 507 of the family's 1533-position model. The record is from RNAcentral.
AUUGAACGCUGGCGGCAGGCCUAACACAUGCAAGUCGAACGGUAACAGGAAGAAGCUUUCUUCUUUGCUGACGCGUGGCGCGGGGGUGUGAAGUGUCUGGGAAACUCUCUGUUGGAGGGGGAUAAAUACUGGAAACGGUAGCUAAUACCGCAUAAAGUCGCAAGACCAAAGAGGGGGACCUUUGGGCCUCUUGCCAUCGGGUGUGCCCAGAUGGGAUUUGCUAGUGGGGGGGGUAACGGCCCACCCAGGCGACGAUCCCUAGCUGGUCUGAGAGGAUGACCAGCCACACUGGAACUGAGACACGGUCCAGACUCCUACGGGAGGCAGCAGUGGGGAAUAUUGGACAAUGGGCGCAAGCCUGAUGCAGCCAUGCCGCGUGGAUGAAGAAGGCCUUCGGGUUGUAAAGUACUUUCAUCGGGGAGGAAGAGAGUAAGGUUAAUACCUUUGUUCAUUGACGUUACCCACAGAAGAAGCACCGGCUAACUCCGUG